This 444-nucleotide ribosomal RNA is filed under the name uncultured bacterium. RNAcentral describes it as "partial 16S ribosomal RNA". It matches the Rfam family "Bacterial small subunit ribosomal RNA", at positions 354 to 796 of the family's 1533-position model. The record is from RNAcentral.
GUGGGGAAUAUUGGACAAUGGGCGAAAGCCUGAUCCAGCCAUGCCGUGUGCAGGAAGACGGCCCUCUGGGUUGUAAACUGCUUUUAUCUGGGAAGAAAAAGGCCAUGCGUGGCAAAUUGCCGGUACCAGAUGAAUAAGCACCGGCUAACUCCGUGCCAGCAGCCGCGGUAAUACGGAGGGUGCGAGCGUUGUCCGGAUUUAUUGGGUUUAAAGGGUGCGUAGGCGGCUGAUUAAGUCAGCGGUGAAAGACUUCGGCUUAACCGGAGCAGUGCCGUUGAUACUGGUUGGGUUGAGUGUCGGAGGGGUACAUGGAAUUGAUGGUGUAGCGGUGAAAUGCAUAGAUACCAUCAGGAACACCGAUAGCGAAGGCAUUGUACUGGCCGACAACUGACGCUGAUGCACGAAAGUGUGGGGAUCGAACAGGAUUAGAUACCCCGGUAGUCC